This 520-nucleotide unclassified non-coding RNA is filed under the name Hevea brasiliensis (rubber tree). Lineage: Eukaryota; Viridiplantae; Streptophyta; Magnoliopsida; Malpighiales; Euphorbiaceae. The record is from RNAcentral.
GUGCACGCUCUACCACGCCUCGCGUACCCACGUCAGGAAAGAAAUCCUCAUCCUCGCAGCUCUGCUUAACAAAAACACUCUGCACUCCCACUGCAAAUCCCCAAGCCAACACUUGGAGAAAUGGUAGUUUCUCUCAGGCUACCUACUCUCGCCUCCCUCUUUUUCUCCUCUCCAUCGAUACGUCGGUCACCAGCGUUUUCUGUACGUCGCCUGUAUUUCCGUCCGCCGCCUCUAAUGGCUUCCUUCUGCGCCCAGAGCGCGGCGUCGAGCCCUCCUGAGACGGAGGACCAAGUUAAUAACCUCAAGAGUCGUGUCAACCAGGACCGAGUCAUUACUCCCCGAUCUCAAGAUUUCAAUGCUUGGUAUCUUGAUGUUAUUGCCAACGCCGAGCUCGCUGAUUAUGGUCCUGUCCGUGGUACUAUGGUCAUUCGUCCUUAUGGAUAUGCUAUCUGGGAGGCUAUCCAGGAUUAUUUGAAUGUUAAGUUCAAGGAGACAGGGCACAGCAAUAUGUAUUUCCCAC